This 606-nucleotide ribosomal RNA is filed under the name uncultured bacterium. Its description in RNAcentral is "bacterial SSU rRNA". The stretch from base 1 to 535 matches the Rfam family "Bacterial small subunit ribosomal RNA", at positions 338 to 873 of the family's 1533-position model. The record is from RNAcentral.
CCUACGGGAGGCAGCAGUAGGGAAUAUUGGACAAUGGACGCAAGUCUGAUCCAGCCAUCCCGCGUGAAGGAUUAAGGCCCUAUGGGUUGUAAACUUCUUUUCUUUGGGAAUAAAAAGCGGUAUUCAUAUCGCCUUGAAGGUACCAGAGGAAUAAGCACCGGCUAACUCCGUGCCAGCAGCCGCGGUAAUACGGAGGGUGCAAGCGUUAUCCGGAUUCACUGGGUUUAAAGGGUGCGUAGGUGGCUUUGUAAGUCAGCGGUGAAAGCCUGGAGCUCAACUCCAGAAUUGCCAUUGAUACUGCAGAGCUUGAAUCAAGUUGAGGUGGAUGGAAUAUUACAUGUAGCGGUGAAAUGCUUAGAUAUGUAAUAGAACACCGAUUGCGAAGGCAGUUCACUAAGCUUGUAUUGACACUGAGGCACGAAAGCGUGGGGAUCAAACAGGAUUAGAUACCCUGGUAGUCCACGCCCUAAACGAUGCAAACUCGACAUUAGCGAUAUACAGUUAGUGUCCAAGCGAAAGCGUUAAGUUUGCCACNGGAGACGACGCGAGUAGAACGACGAAGAAGUAGAGCGUGAGACGAGACGACGACGACGACGAGGGAGGAGG